Molecule: long non-coding RNA, 528 nt
Organism: Ornithorhynchus anatinus (platypus)
Lineage: Eukaryota; Metazoa; Chordata; Mammalia; Monotremata; Ornithorhynchidae
Exons: 3
Source: RefSeq, a predicted model, not a curated record
GACUCCCCAACCAUACCCCCUGACUAGUUCUGAUGCCCUCUGCAACAGUUGGACAACUCCCUGAGCUGGUACAGGGCCAUGCAGCCCCGAGGGUUGGGGAGGAUAGGGAGGAAAAAGAAGAAUCGGGCUACUAGUGCCAAUCUACCUGGGCUCGAGUACAAGAUCUCUCAACUGACCAAUCCAGGCCCGAAGCCCAAUUCAUCUCGGACAGGCGGCUGCAGUCAAAAUGAAAGAAAGGGUUCUGAUGAAGCAGAGAGGAAGAGUUUCUCAGAAACCCAGCCAGGAGCCCGAGAAAAAUAAGCCAAGCUGUCUAGGCACCACUCCUGUCCAUAUAACUUUCCCAGUGGACUUUGGUUGAUCAUAAAAACAAAGCAAUGCUUUGAGGAGUCAGAGAAGAAGCCCAGCCUCAUCUGCCCACUCCAGGAGCCAGAAGGGAGGGGUGACCGAUAAUGCUGGCAAUAACUGGGAAUAAUAGACCCAAGAUAAUCACAUCCAACACAGAUCGUGAGUCCCAUGUGGGAUGUGGAU